CUGUACGUAAACACUGUACUCUAGGUGAUAAAAUUAUUUCCCAUGGAAAUACAGUAAACAAUAUACCAUUUUGUUU
Molecule: non-coding RNA, 76 nt
Organism: Ceratotherium simum simum (southern white rhinoceros)
Lineage: Eukaryota; Metazoa; Chordata; Mammalia; Perissodactyla; Rhinocerotidae
Source: RefSeq, a predicted model, not a curated record